UUGAACGCUGGCGGCAGGCCUAACACAUGCAAGUCGAGCGGAUGAAGGGAGCUUGCUCCUGGAUUCAGCGGCGGACGGGUGAGUAAUGCCUAGGAAUCUGCCUGGUAGUGGGGGAUAACGUCCGGAAACGGGCGCUAAUACCGCAUACGUCCUGAGGGAGAAAGUGGGGGAUCUUCGGACCUCACGCUAUCAGAUGAGCCUAGGUCGGAUUAGCUAGUUGGUGGGGUAAAGGCCUACCAAGGCGACGAUCCGUAACUGGUCUGAGAGGAUGAUCAGUCACACUGGAACUGAGAAAAGGUCCAGACUCCUAAGGGAGGCAGGCGUGGGGAAUAUUGGAACAUGGGCGAAAGCCUGAUCCAGGCCAGGCGGGGGUGUGAAGAAAGGUUUCGGAAUGGAAAACCAUUUAAGUUGGGAGGAAGGGCAGUAAGUUAAUAACUUGCUUUUUUGACGUUAACAAAAGAAUAAGCACCGGCUAACUUCGUG
This 483-nucleotide ribosomal RNA is filed under the name uncultured bacterium. Its description in RNAcentral is "partial 16S ribosomal RNA". It matches the Rfam family "Bacterial small subunit ribosomal RNA", at positions 30 to 507 of the family's 1533-position model. The record is from RNAcentral.